Molecule: ribosomal RNA, 338 nt
Filed under: uncultured Pseudomonadota bacterium
Lineage: Bacteria; Pseudomonadati; Pseudomonadota
Description: bacterial SSU rRNA
Rfam family: Bacterial small subunit ribosomal RNA
Source: RNAcentral
AACGAACGCUGGCGGCGUGCCUAACACAUGCAAGUCGAACGGAGGCAAGGGGCUUGCUCCUUGCUUUAGUGGCGCACGGGUGAGUAACGCGUGGAUAAUCUGCCUGAUACUCUGGGAUAACAUCUCGAAAGGGGUGCUAAUACCGGAUAAGCCCACGGACUCUUUGGAGUUUGCGGGAAAAGGAGGGGACCUUCGGGCCUUCCGAUAUCAGAUGAGUCCGCGUCCCAUUAGCUAGUUGGUAGGGUAAAGGCCUACCAAGGCGACGAUGGGUAGCUGGUCUGAGAGGAUGAUCAGCCACACUGGAACUGAGACACGGUCCAGACUCCUACGGGUGGCAG